UGGGGAAUCUUGGACAAUGGGGGCAACCCUGAUCCAGCCAUGCCGCGUGAGUGAUGAAGGCCUUAGGGUCGUAAAGCUCUUUCGCCUGUGAAGAUAAUGACGGUAGCAGGUAAAGAAACCCCGGCUAACUCCGUGCCAGCAGCCGCGGUAAUACGGAGGGGGUUAGCGUUGUUCGGAAUUACUGGGCGUAAAGCGCACGUAGGCGGACCAGAAAGUUGGGGGUGAAAUCCCGGGGGCUCAACCCCGGAACUGCCUCCAAAACUAUUGGUCUAGAGUUCGAGAGAGGUGAGUGGAAUUCCAAGUGUAGAGGUGAAAUUCGUAGAUAUUUGGAGGAACACCAGUGGCGAAGGCGGCUCACUGGCUCGAUACUGACGCUGAGGUGCGAAAGUGUGGGGAGCAAAACAGGAUUAGAUACCCUGGUAGUCCACACCGUAAAACGAUGAAUGCCAGUCGUCGGGUAGCAUGCUAUUCGGUGACACACCUAACGGAUUAAGCAUUCCGCCUGGGGAGUACGGUCGCAAGAUUAAAAC
RNAcentral lists this ribosomal RNA (530 nucleotides) under uncultured bacterium. Its description in RNAcentral is "bacterial SSU rRNA". It matches the Rfam family "Bacterial small subunit ribosomal RNA", at positions 355 to 900 of the family's 1533-position model. The record is from RNAcentral.